This 615-nucleotide long non-coding RNA is filed under the name Actinidia chinensis (golden kiwifruit). RNAcentral describes it as "long non-coding RNA (ACHI_LNC005497)". Lineage: Eukaryota; Viridiplantae; Streptophyta; Magnoliopsida; Ericales; Actinidiaceae. The record is from RNAcentral.
GCUGUGUUUCGAUUAAGGCUCCGUUUGGGCUAGGUUUAAAUUCUGAUUUUGGGCUAAAACAGUCCAAUUUUUUAGGGCUAUUUGGGCGGAUAUUUUUUUAUAACGGAUUUUUAUGGUCUGUUUGGGGUAAAAAAAUUCAAAUCACUUCAAAUCUCAAAAAACCAAGAAAUUGUUGACCAAAAAAACAACAUAAUUUUUAAUCAAUGCACUAGACAGUCUCCACUUCCACAACAGAACUUCCCUCACCCUCAAAGCUGCAUGCAAAAGCACUUCCACGGCAACGACGCUCCCAAUCGUUAGAAUUUGAAAUAUUGAACAAAUUAACAAAAAAAUAACCUCAUUAAGGUCUAAAGAUAUAUCCUUUUAGCGUAUGCCCUAGAAUUCAAAAUCGUCGUCACUAAAAAAAUUGCAGAGAAUUGACAUGAAGGUAAAAGAUGGUACCGAAAAUAUGCCCUAGAAUUCAAAAUCGUCGUCACUAAAAAAAUUGCAGAGAAUUGACAUGAAGGUAAAAGAUGGUACCGAAAAUAUGCAUUGUGCUUUACCUAUGACGAAGGAAAACCGAAGAAAAGUAGCCAUAAACAAAAAAUUUAAUUCCCUCAUGGACGUGUUUUGUUU